Molecule: ribosomal RNA, 430 nt
Filed under: uncultured bacterium
Lineage: Bacteria
Description: bacterial LSU rRNA
Rfam family: Bacterial large subunit ribosomal RNA
Source: RNAcentral
UGAGCUGUGGAUAGGGGUGAAAGGCUAAACAAACUUGGAAAUAGCUGGUUCUCCCCGAAAACUAUUUAGGUAGUGCCUCGUGCGGACACUUCCGGGGGUAGAGCACUGUAAUCGUUGGGGGGGUCAUUGCGAUCUACCCCGCGAUAGCAAACUCCGAAUACCGGAAAGUGAUACACGGGAGACAGACGGUGGGUGCUAACGUCCAUCGUCAAGAGGGAAACAACCCAGACCGCCAGCUAAGGUCCCAAAUCCAUGGCUAAGUGGAAAAACGAGGUGGGAAGGCAUAGACAGCUAGGAGGUUGGCUUAGAAGCAGCCACCCUUUAAAGAAAGCGUAAUAGCUCACUAGUCGAGUCGUCCUGCGCGGAAGAUGUAACGGGGCUCAAGCCAUGAACCGAAGCUGCGGAUGCAUUUUAAUGCAUGGUAGGGGAG